AAAUACACAAUCCACAGUCCAUCGCCAAUUUCUUUGAUCUGCAAGUCGAAAUUCACCAUCUCUUGUGAGGUUUGUUAUGGGUUCAUGGACAAUGGCCGGUGUUGGUCCCAUGCUGAACAGGUCUUGCUUUGGUCUGUGGUGGUGUUGGAUCGAUUGGAUUGUAAUCGUUAUUGUUCUAUUUUUUUGCAUAUUGGGUCAUGCUCUAAUUUAUAUAUCAGAUUUGAUUGUUAUUGCUUAGAAACUGAUUUAUUGAUUUUGAGUUUUAAAUCUUCACUAUCUAGAUUCGCCGACAUCUAUAGUGCAAUUUUGGAUCUAAGCAGGUAAGAGUUUGAAGAUUUAUUUUUUCCCCAUAACUGAUUAUGUGGACGGAAGUCAUGGUGGUUUUCCCUGCUGAUUUCUUACGUGUUUAUUACCCUAUCCCCUCUAUUAAAUCAGUUAUGGGUGUUUUUGUUAGAUUUGUUUACCUUAGUUCAAAUGGCUUUAACUGUGUUUUUCGGCAUCUUUGCUGGUUUUAUCAUCGGAAAUUUCUCUUUUUUGGAUUUAGUUAUACAUUGAUAUAUGCUAUUCAUGGGUGGUGUGUUUGGUUGAAAUCAUCCAGUGACUAGAAGCCGCUUGAUCCCAUUCUUGAUGGUGGUGGUUCACGGCGGCGCCGAUGGAAUUGGGUGGUGAGAUUUAUAGGAUUUUUCAAGGAGAGGAGGGUAGAAAGAUGAAACUUAGAAAAAAAAGAACAUAAUUAUUUGCGAUGAUUUAGAAAUUAAGGAGUGGAUUUUUAACAAGUUUUGAUUAAAUAGUUCACAAGGUAAAAAUGAUAAAAUACUGUUAUUUAGACAUUUUGGAAAAAUUAAUUAUCAAACAACAUUUAUUCAUUCAGUUACAAUUUUAAACAAACCCUCUACAUUAUUUAGAUGUCUAAACUAUCCAAAUCUUAACACUUAAUUUUAUCAAACACCACCUUAGUCUCCGACUCUCUGGCCUUCGCCUCUCAAUCUCUUACGGUCUCACCGUACCCUUGGUUCGGCCUUCGCAAAUCGCAUCCCCGCGUCUCGGUGGGUAUUUGGCAGUUCUCUUGCAAACUAUUUGGUACUAAAAAAUUUAACCUCUGUUUUUUUGUCUCUAGCUUCGAUUUAGUACUAAUAUAUUUAUGUUGAUCUUGAUUACAUGUUUAAUUAUUAGACUAUGACUAGUUUUUUCAAGUUUUCUAUUGUUUAUGGACAUAUAAAGCUAAAAGCGUAAUAUAUUUGUGUUUCCUUCCUGAAAAAUCAAUUUAGAUGGUGGUAACAUGAUAACAUCUAUCACCUGAAACUAUAACUUUGAUUCCUUGAAUUCAAACUUUCCUUUGUCAAUAUGUGAAUUUGUUUAUCAAGAUGACCCAAGUACCCAAUUGUCCUGCUAUGGGAUAUUUUAACAAUUAGACUUAUAUAAGUGUUUACUUGUGUGAUAUUAUAGCUUUUAAUGUUAAGAUUUCAGUAAAUCAAUUUGGGGUGUUUGGUUAUAUUUCCAUAAAUGUUCAGAAAAGUCUUAGCUUCCCCCUAAUGCGGAAUUAAAGAGACAAAUUUGGAACUACAUUUGCAAGAAUCUGUACAAUUUAAUACAGAAGAAUCUUAGAAAAGGUCUUAGAUUGUGAUGAACUGCAACAUAAGAUCUCAUUAUAAUUGGCCUCAGAUUCUUUCCGGCUAUUCUAGUCAUUAUCCAGUAAGAGCUAUUAUAGUCAAUGUUAUCUUAUAUAAAGCAGUUUGGGAAUGUCAUAUUCAUUAUCAAUAUAUACAUAUUAGGGGCUAAGUAUAUUUAUCAUUCUUUUUAUAAUUUGUAUUUUUAUUUUACUUUUUGUAUUUACACUUACUGGCUGCUGUAUUGUGCAUGUAAUGGGUGACUAUAGGAACUAAAAAUUCUGGUUGGAGUGCUCUUUUCUAUUUGGUGGUUUUUGGGCAGCUCAGUUUGGAGUGGUCAUGUAUCAAUCUUUGGGAGGUUUUUAUAUGAUUUACUCGGCUUUUGUUUUUUUUUUGUUACUCUUUUUCCUUCUUUUUUUCCCUCAUAAGCUACUGAAAACUAAUACAGCUGUGGGAUGUUUUGUUUGUGUAUCAUGAUGGUUUAUAUUUAGUUUCUUGUGUAAGUUAUAGCCUUUAUUUAAUUUUAUUGGUUGUAUUACCUGGGGUAUGUAGUAUGCUCAUUGUGAACUUACUGGGAUAUCUAAGAUGAUACAUACACUGACUCAAUGGAUAAAUGAUUUAUUUAUGCAGUUAGUAGGAUAUCUCUUGUUCGCUUAUGUUGCAUGUUGUUGUUGUUGUUGCUCGUUGAUGUUGUUGUUCAUGUUGCUGUUACAAUGAUCUUUCAUUUUGUUUGUUCAUGUUGUUGUUGCAUUGCUGGCUGCUAGCUACUGAAAAGCCUACAAUUUCCUACUCAUGUUCAUGUUGCUGUUAGUUGUUGUUGCAUAUUGGAUGUUGCUAGAUUAUACAAUAAAACCUCUAUUUAGGAAUAGGCUUGGGAUCAAACUAUUUGUAUUCUAAUUGAGAGGUUAUUACUAAAUAGAGGUAUUGGUACAAAAUAAU
Molecule: long non-coding RNA, 2546 nt
Filed under: Panax ginseng (ginseng)
Lineage: Eukaryota; Viridiplantae; Streptophyta; Magnoliopsida; Apiales; Araliaceae
Description: long non-coding RNA (PGIN_LNC012895)
Source: RNAcentral